GUGGGGAAUAUUGGACAAUGGGCGCAAGCCUGAUCCAGCCAUGCCGCGUGAGUGAUGAAGGCCUUAGGGUUGUAAAGCUCUUUUGUCCGGGAAGAUAAUGACUGUACCGGAAGAAUAAGCCCCGGCUAACUUCGUGCCAGCAGCCGCGGUAAUACGAAGGGGGCUAGCGUUGUUCGGAAUCACUGGGCGUAAAGCGCACGUAGGCGGACCAUUAAGUCAGGGGUUAAAGCCUGGAGCUCAACUCCAGAACUGACUUUGAUACUGAUGGUCUCGAGUAUGGAAGAGGUUGGUGGAACUGCGAGUGUAGAGGUGAAAUGCGUAGAUAUUCGCAAGAACACCGGUGGCGAAGGCGGCCAACUGGUCCAUUACUGACGCUGAGGUGCGAAAGCGUGGGGAGCAAACAGGAUUAGAUACCCGGGUAGUCC
RNAcentral lists this ribosomal RNA (425 nucleotides) under uncultured bacterium. RNAcentral describes it as "partial 16S ribosomal RNA". It matches the Rfam family "Bacterial small subunit ribosomal RNA", at positions 354 to 796 of the family's 1533-position model. The record is from RNAcentral.